GUACGGCGAGUGAGCGGCAACAGCUCAAAUUUGAAAUCUGGCCGUUUACGGUCCGAGUUGUAAUUUGUAGAGGAUGUUUUGGGUACCGCCCCGGUUUAAAUUUCUUGGAACAGAAUGUCAAAGAGGGUGAGAGUCCCGUCUUGGACCGCGGUAGGGCCUGUGUAAAACUCCUUCGACGAGUCGACUUGUUUGGGAAUGCAGGUCAAAAUGGGUGGUAAAUUUCAUCUAAAGCUAAAUAUUGGCCAGAGACCGAUAGCGCACAAGUAGAGUGAUCGAAAGAUGAAAAGCACUUUGAAAAGAGAGUUAAACAGUAUGUGAAAUUGUUGAAAGGGAAGCGCUGGCAACCAGACUCGUGCGCGGGGUUCCCCCUUGCUUCUGCUUGGGUCACUUCCCCGUGUCCGGGCCAUCAUCAGUUUCGGGGGCCGGUUAAAGGCCUUGGGAAUGUAUCCACGCCUUCGGGGGUGGACUUAUAGCCCAGGGUGUCAUGCGGCCACCCGGGACUGAGGAACGCGCUUCGGCGAGGAUGAUGGCGUAAUGGUUGUCAGCGGCCCGUCUUGAAACACGGACCCC
This 570-nucleotide ribosomal RNA is filed under the name Knufia marmoricola. RNAcentral describes it as "partial large subunit ribosomal RNA". It matches the Rfam family "Eukaryotic large subunit ribosomal RNA", at positions 83 to 669 of the family's 3401-position model. Lineage: Eukaryota; Fungi; Ascomycota; Eurotiomycetes; Chaetothyriales; Trichomeriaceae. The record is from RNAcentral.